This 492-nucleotide ribosomal RNA is filed under the name uncultured soil bacterium. RNAcentral describes it as "bacterial SSU rRNA". It matches the Rfam family "Bacterial small subunit ribosomal RNA", at positions 26 to 518 of the family's 1533-position model. The record is from RNAcentral.
AGGAUGAACGCUGGCGGCGUGCUUAACACAUGCAAGUCACGGGGGCCUGAGGCGCAAGCCGAGGGCAACCGGCGAACGGGUGCGUAACACGUGAGCAACCUACCGAAAUGAGGGGGAUAGCCGGCCCAACGGCCGGGUAAUACCGCAUACGCUCGAGACCAGGCAUUUGGACUCGAGGAAACCUCCGGGGCGUUUCGAGGGGCUCGCGGCCUAUCAGCUAGUUGGUGAGGUAACGGCUCACCAAGGCAACGACGGGUAGCUGGUCUGAGAGGAUGGCCAGCCACAUUGGGACUGAGAUACGGCCCAGACUCCUACGGGAGGCAGCAGUGGGGAAUCUUGCGCAAUGGCCUAACGGCUGACGCAGCGACGCCGCGUGAGGAUGACGCUCUUCGGAGUGUAAACCUCUUUUGCCUUGGACGAAUUGCCGAGCUUUAGCUGGCUUUGACGGUACCGGUGAAUAAGCACCGGCUAACGUCCGCGCCAGCAGCCGAC